Molecule: long non-coding RNA, 349 nt
Organism: Homo sapiens (human)
Lineage: Eukaryota; Metazoa; Chordata; Mammalia; Primates; Hominidae
Gene: KLHL30-AS1
Product: KLHL30 antisense RNA 1
Source: Ensembl
CCAUCCAUACACAUGCUUUCAGCUGGAUCAACUGAUGGCCCAACCAACUGGAGUAGUGGCCUCUCUCCGUGAACGCACCAGCGUUACUGCACCAUGCCAUGCCUGAGGGAUCCGCCCCCAUGAUCUAAACGCCUCCCACCAGGCCCAACUCCAACACCAGCGAUCAGACUCAACAGACUCAACAUGAGAUUCGGAGGGGACAGAUCUCCAAGCUAUGUCAUGGUCUAUACUGACUAUGGAAAACUGUCAGGUGACCAGUCCAUUUAAUUACAGUCACAUGAGGGUGUCAAUGGCCUGAUCCCAGCAACCACUGUCCCUGCCUGAAUAGAGAAGAUGCCAGAUAAUAAAA